This 253-nucleotide ribosomal RNA is filed under the name uncultured bacterium. Its description in RNAcentral is "partial 16S ribosomal RNA". It matches the Rfam family "Bacterial small subunit ribosomal RNA", at positions 524 to 776 of the family's 1533-position model. The record is from RNAcentral.
UACGUAGGGGGCAAGCGUUGUCCGGAAUCAUUGGGCGUAAAGCGCGUGUAGGCGGCCCGGUAAGUCCGCUGUGAAAGUCCAGGGCUCAACCCUGGAAUGCCGGUGGAUACUGUCGGGCUAGAGUCCGGAAGAGGCGAGUGGAAUUCCUGGUGUAGCGGUGAAAUGCGCAGAUAUCAGGAGGAACACCAAUGGCGAAGGCAGCUCGCUGGGACGGUACUGACGCUGAGGCGCGAAAGCGUGGGGAGCAAACAGG